ACCGAUGSCGAAACUGGAUGUUGGGUGCAAUUUGGCACGCAGUAUCGAAGCUAACGCGUUAGUUGCCGCCUGGGGAGUCGGUCGCAAGACUGAAACUCAAAGAAUUGAYGGGGGCCCGCACAAGCGGUGGAGUAUGUGGUUUAAUUAUGAACGCGAAGAACCUUACCUGCCUGACAUGUCGAGAACUUUCCAGAGAUGAUUGGUGCUUCGSGAACUGAACACAGGUGCUGCAUGGCUGUCGUAGUCGUGUSGUGAGAUGUUGGGUUAAGUCCCAACAGCGCAACCCUGUCCUUAGUUGCCAGCACGUAAUGGUGGGAACUUAAGGAGACCGCCGGUGACAAACCGGAGGAAGGUGGGGAGAMGUCAAGUCAUCAUGGCCCUUACGGCCAGGGCUACACAGUACUCAAUGGUAGGGACAGAGGGUGCAAGCCGGSGACGGUAAGCCAAUCCCAGAAACCCUAUYUCAGUCCGGAUUGGAGUCUGCAACUCGACUCCAUGAAGUCGGAAUCGCUAGUAAUCGCAGAUCAGCAUUGSUGCGGUGAAUACGUUCCCGGGCCUUGUACACACCGCCCGUCACACCAUGGGAGUUGUUCACCAGAAGUCCUUAACACGGAGGGCGUUCCAGUCGUG
Molecule: ribosomal RNA, 630 nt
Filed under: Stenotrophomonas pavanii
Lineage: Bacteria; Pseudomonadati; Pseudomonadota; Gammaproteobacteria; Lysobacterales; Lysobacteraceae
Description: bacterial SSU rRNA
Rfam family: Bacterial small subunit ribosomal RNA
Source: RNAcentral